RNAcentral lists this ribosomal RNA (253 nucleotides) under uncultured bacterium. RNAcentral's name for it is "partial 16S ribosomal RNA". It matches the Rfam family "Bacterial small subunit ribosomal RNA", at positions 524 to 776 of the family's 1533-position model. The record is from RNAcentral.
CACGGGGGGAGCAAGCGUUGUUCGGAAUCACUGGGCGUAAAGGGCGUGUAGGCGGUCAGGUUAGUGAGAUGUGAAACGCCCCGGCUCACCCGGGGACCUGCAUCUCAAACUGCCUGGCUUGAGUAUGGGAGAGGAUGAGGGAAUUCCUGGUGUAGCGGUGAAAUGCGUAGAUAUCAGGAGGAACACCGGUGGCGAAAGCGCUCAUCUGGCCCAAUACUGACGCUGAAGCGCGAAAGCUAGGGGAGCAAACGGG